This 504-nucleotide ribosomal RNA is filed under the name uncultured bacterium. RNAcentral's name for it is "bacterial SSU rRNA". It matches the Rfam family "Bacterial small subunit ribosomal RNA", at positions 37 to 524 of the family's 1533-position model. The record is from RNAcentral.
UGGCGGCGUGCCUAAACAUGCAAGUCGAGCGAACAGACGAGGAGCUUGCUCCUCUGACGUUAGCGGCGGACGGGUGAGUAACACGUGGAUAACCUACCUAUAAGACUGGGAUAACUUCGGGAAACCGGAGCUAAUACCGGAUAAUAUAUUGAACCGCAUGGUUCAAUAGUGAAAGACGGUUUUGCUGUCACUUAUAGAUGGAUCCGCGCCGCAUUAGCUAGUUGGUAAGGUAACGGCUUACCAAGGCAACGAUGCGUAGCCGACCUGAGAGGGUGAUCGGCCACACUGGAACUGAGACACGGUCCAGACUCCUACGGGAGGCAGCAGUAGGGAAUCUUCCGCAAUGGGCGAAAGCCUGACGGAGCAACGCCGCGUGAGUGAUGAAGGUCUUCGGAUCGUAAAACUCUGUUAUUAGGGAAGAACAAAUGUGUAAGUAACUAUGCACGUCUUGACGGUACCUAAUCAGAAAGCCACGGCUAACUACGUGCCAGCAGCCGCGGUAAU